GCCUUUUGUCUCAAGAGUUCUAGGAUCAAUGAUGUGUAACCUUCAAUGCCUGGGAAAGAUACUUAGAGAGCCUGUGCAGAUGAUCCGGCUAUUUGGGCUUUGUAUGAGCAGCUUGUUACUCCUGGGAAGUCUGCCCAUUUGUUGCUGCUGUCUUUGGCAGAGGAGCAAAUACGCCAAUUCUUUACGUAUGAAAAAUGAAAGAAUUUUGGAGGGUGUGAAGAAAGAAAGAGAGAAACUGAAGGGGGGUACCGAAGUGUCAGCAACAACAACAGAAGAAGAGGAUGGUAAUGAAGAUGAGAAGGAAAGUGAAGCAUUGCUUUCCCGUUGAGUUGAGUGCACACCUUCCAGAGCAGAGGAGACUGUCCCAGUUGUCCAAGCCCGACUGUUCAUUUUAGAAAGAUAGAAAUUUGUUGUUUUUGUCUUUACCCUCAAGUAUAAAAUAAAGUUCACAGUUCUGUUUUUAUGCACCAAACAAGAAUCCAGAUUAUUUCUGUUAAACGUAGUUUCUAUAGAAUUUUUAAAAAUAUG
Molecule: long non-coding RNA, 528 nt
Filed under: Chinchilla lanigera (long-tailed chinchilla)
Lineage: Eukaryota; Metazoa; Chordata; Mammalia; Rodentia; Chinchillidae
Description: lncRNA (ENSCLAG00000025490.1)
Source: RNAcentral